This 350-nucleotide ribosomal RNA is filed under the name uncultured Sebacinales. Its description in RNAcentral is "partial 18S ribosomal RNA". The stretch from base 9 to 264 matches the Rfam family "Group I catalytic intron". From Rfam's summary of the family: Group I catalytic introns are large self-splicing ribozymes. Lineage: Eukaryota; Fungi; Basidiomycota; Agaricomycetes; Sebacinales. The record is from RNAcentral.
CUAAACAAGUAGGUGGAUUAAACGCUAGUCUCUUUCAAAGAGGCAACACUAUCAAAUUGCGGGAAGAUCCUGUCAGGUCCACAUCACCGCGGCUCACCGAAAGGUGCAGUGCAGCACCAGGCUAACAACCUUGGGGAUGGUAAUAGUAUGUGGAAUAGGGAGAAUNUGCAGCCAAGCCCCUCUCUUGGGGUGCAGUUCACAGGCCAAAUGGUAGUGGGCACUCUGGUGCUUAAGAUAUGGUCGAGUCCCAAUUGAAAAAUUGGGUACAAGUACUCUGAUUGAUUACAUACAGUCUAUGCUCAGUCAAAUACAGCUAGUUGUAAAUGCAAAUGUUCCGUAGGUGAACCUGC